AACGAACGCUGGCGGCAUGCCUAACACAUGCAAGUCGAACGAGACCUUCGGGUCUAGUGGCGCACGGGUGCGUAACGCGUGGGAAUCUGCCCUUGGGUUCGGAAUAACAGCGAGAAAUUGCUGCUAAUACCGGAUGAUGACGUAAGUCCAAAGAUUUAUCGCCAAAAGGAUUGGCCCGCGUCCGAUUAGCUAGUUGGUGAGGUAACGGCUCACCAAGGCUACGAUCGGUAGCUGGUCUGAGAGGAUGAUCAGCCACAUUGGGACUGAGACACGGCCCAAACUCCUACGGGAGGCAGCAGUGGGGAAUAUUGGACAAUGGGCGCAAGCCUGAUCCAGCCAUGCCGCGUGAGUGAUGAAGGCCUUAGGGUUGUAAAGCUCUUUUGUCCGGGAAGAUAAUGACUGUACCGGAAGAAUAAGCCCCGGCUAACUUCGUGCCAGCAGCCGCGGUAAU
RNAcentral lists this ribosomal RNA (451 nucleotides) under uncultured bacterium. RNAcentral's name for it is "bacterial SSU rRNA". It matches the Rfam family "Bacterial small subunit ribosomal RNA", at positions 29 to 524 of the family's 1533-position model. The record is from RNAcentral.